AUAUCUCAACCACACCGUGAGGUGUGGCUUGGAUUUGGGGGUUACAGGCCUCUAGUCUGCUCCCCUGAAAUGCAUGAGUGGUAACGACCUCUCCAUCAAGAUGUGAUACAUAUCUGCAUCUGGUCGAGGGUUCUGCUGCUAUAUAAGAGUUGGAUUUGAUAA
This 162-nucleotide unclassified non-coding RNA is filed under the name uncultured Inocybe. RNAcentral describes it as "sequence contains ITS2". The record is from RNAcentral. Lineage: Eukaryota; Fungi; Basidiomycota; Agaricomycetes; Agaricales; Cortinariaceae.